GAUAUUUCUAUUUUUGUUUAUAUUAAUAUUCGGAGUGGAAAAUUUUCAAGCAUCUGGUACGCGUAGGGACGAGAGUUCAUGCGUACACGUAUCGUGGGCAUGUACGUAAUUUCAGAAGAAAACACAGUUUGGGAUGUAUGGGUCAUUAUAGAGUAUUUAUGACUCAUCCAAACCCAGGGAUUCUUAUAUAUAGGAACCUCCGAGCUCCUUCUCUCUUCAGAUUACAUCCCAAGAUAGCAUUUGUGGACAAUGGCUGGAAUGAUUAGCAAGAUUGGAGAUACCCUCAAGGGCAACAAGAAAGAGGAGGAGUACAAGGGACAAGGGGGCAACAACCUCCACAUGGGGGGCAACAAGAAAGAGGAGGAGCGCAAGGGACAAGGGGGCAACAAGCUUGGAGAGACCCUUCACAUGGGGGGCAACAAGAACGAGGAGUACAAGGGAGAGCAUCAGGGCAGAAGAAGGAAGGGAUGGUUGACAAGUUGAAAGACAAGAUCCCUGGUCUUCAGGGCAAGGAUGGCAAGGAGGGGGUGAAGAAGAAGAAGGAGAAGAAGAAGCACGAAGACGGCCACAGCAGCAGCAGCGACAGCGACUAGAACAUAUGCCAUCAUCUAUGCAUAGGUGGAGAGGAUCACAAUUCAGAAGAGAAAGGUAAAAAAAAAAGAAG
Long non-coding RNA from Juglans microcarpa x Juglans regia, 664 nucleotides. RefSeq lists it as uncharacterized. The transcript is spliced from 2 exons. The record is from RefSeq and is a predicted model, not a curated record. Lineage: Eukaryota; Viridiplantae; Streptophyta; Magnoliopsida; Fagales; Juglandaceae.